RNAcentral lists this long non-coding RNA (4890 nucleotides) under Sus scrofa (pig). RNAcentral's name for it is "lncRNA (ENSSSCG00015048968.1)". The record is from RNAcentral. Lineage: Eukaryota; Metazoa; Chordata; Mammalia; Artiodactyla; Suidae.
GAGCAAGGGCAGGGAUCGAACCCGCAACCUCAUGGUUCCUAGUCGGAUUCGUUAACCACUGCGCCACCAUGGGCCCUCCGAGUUGCCGUGUUGAUUAAAAUGCAUCUAAAUCGUCUCCCUCCCAGGUGCCUGGCAAAUGCACGCUACCUCCCUGCUCCUUCGCUCAACUUGACCCAGCAUGUGACACACAAAUACGAGCCCUGAGAGGCUCGAGGAACCCACAUAACACUAUAUGUAUAAACACACACACACACACACAGGUACGCACGUCCACAUGUAGGCAGCUCUGGGUAACACCUUAUACAGCUUGAAGGAUUCCAACUGGCCGAAGGCGGACCGGGAGAGCCACCACCCGCGGUGCUGUGCCGCCAGGCAGGCGGCCGGCUGCCUAGAUGCGGAAGGUGCGCCCACGGCCGAGGCGGUGCCACGGGCACACACUGCGGGCUUGGAGUGAGACAGGCACUCCUGCCAAGCUCUCCCUCCGUCAGCACAGCGACCUGCGGUGUGAUUACUGUCGUCCUCGUUACACAGGUGAGCAAAGUGAGGACAAGCUCCCUGGGGCGGGACGAGCCCCGUCAAAGGAACUGGCCCCGUGUGCACACUCAGAUCUACGGAGUGACGGGCCAGCCGGGUGCUGCUGCAGAGCCAGGGACGCCGACCCACCAGUCUGGGAUGGCCCGCGUGGGAAAGAAUCUGAAGCAGAAUGGACGCGUCACGUGUAACGGACUCGCUUUGUUUUACGGCAGAAAUGAACGCAACCGUGCAAACCAACGAUGCUUCAAAACAGGCUAAAAACACACAAGAGAAAACGGAAUCGGCCCCCAAAUCACCGGGAGCCACCGGUGGCAACUUGAACCAGGAGAGGAGGCGAGAUCAGGACAGAGACUGAAACCACACAACCGGCUGGGAAGCAAACCGCAGCCACUGGCACAUUUAAUUAAGGGCCAGGGAGGAAGAGGGUGGAAGGUGCUGAGGCGGCCGUGGGGCCCAGGAGCCAAGAGAAGGACCUGCGACAAGGCCCAGGGGCACGGAGGGCUCUCUGGUGCCGCCCUUCGGCAUUGUGGCCUAGACUUGCUUUUUUCUCUUGGUAACAGGUAAGAACAGAAUGAGCAAGUCUAAUUCCUUGGGCAGCACAGGUCUCUAGGGGCGUCUAGCACGAGAGACAGCAGCACUCCACUGGCAGGUACGCGGCAUCAACGCCCGUGACACGACGGGCACAGGUUCCUCUCCCUCCCAUCCAGGCUGCAAAGAACCGACUACCUGCAGAGAGGUGGGGAGGUGAGAUUGACAGCGGAUGAUGGGGGGGGGUGUCCCCCUGGAGGGGCCGGGGCCCCUGCAUGAAGGACGGGAGCUCAGGGGCGGGCAGGUGAUCCCUGCCGCUGACCAGCCUUCCCUGCCCUCCGGUCUGCCGGCAGGGGCUGCUGAAAUCGAGCAACACGGUGGGGCGUGGCUGAAACAGCAGAAAUGCACUGUCCCCCCCUUCUGGGGGCUGCAGGUCUGGACCAAAGUGUGGGCAGGCCUGGGUCUCCCUGAGGCCCCUCCUGGGCCCAGAAGUGGCCGCCAGCAGGUUCACAAGCAGAAGAGAGUGCCUUCCCGCCAGGACCAAGGGACGUCUUUGCCUUUGUCUGGGUCUCGUGUAACUUCUUCCAGGGGUGUUUCCGGUGUUCAAUACAUAAGUCUUCUACUUCCUUAAGUCUAUUCCUAAUUAAUUUAUUGUUUUUAACGCUAUUAUCAAAAGAAUGGUUUCCUUCACGCCCUGCAACCGGCUGCAGGUGUUCGUGGGUCCUAACAGCCUUGUGGUGGGUCACUCACGCGGACCACACCGCCUGCCAGCAGAGGCAGCUUAUUUCCUCCUUUCUAAGCGGGGUGCUCUGCCUUUCACCACCUAGCCCGGUUAUCCACCUCCAACCUCCCACACGACGGGGGCCAGGAAGAGCUAGAGCGGGCGUCACCCUGCCUCUCGCCGUCAGGGAGGUGUCGGCAGGGCUUUGCACAGGCGCCCUUUACCCGUGGGAGGGCAUUGUUCUCUUCCUGACAGGGCUGUUUGUGCCAGGUCUGCACAGGCCCUGUGCCCACAGAGGCCAGAGUGGUUUCUCCAAGGCAGGCGGAUCCAACCACAGGCUGGAUCUCUGGGAGCAAGUCGGUGGGGCUCUCCCUGGACCCUCGGCUUCCCCCCCAAGUCUUGGUUCUCCCUCCCCCCACCGUCUGGAAUGUGAUUUCUGUGACCACCCAUUUCCCCGACGAUUCCUCUAAAACUUUGUUUUCUUUCAGCCUAGAAACUUCCCCUAACAGAGUCUUGCGGGCGCCCCACCCCGACGAGCUGCCAAUACUGUGUCCAUGUGUUUCCUUAAAGCCACGUUACCACAGGACGUGAACAGGCCUGUCUCCCGUAAAAGCAGCGUCUCUCUGCCUUGCUGACCUUUGGCCCCAGCACCUGGGAGGGGGCCAUAACAGGUGGCACAGGUGGACGAACGAAAAAGCGGCUCCUCACCCCACCCACCACUGUCCUGGCAGAGUGGGUUUUUCUCAAGCGCAAAUUUGAUCAUAAAGCUCAUUAAAAUCCCUCCAACAGCUGCUGACACCCUUCAGGAAGAAGCCCCAAACUCCCACCUAAAAGACUAAAGGCCUCUUCACGACCUGCCCCAGCCCCACAGCCCUCCGCCAGCAUCUUCCGCCACACACCCCACUCCCUAAACCCCCGAAAACCACCACAACCCCAAAGCCGGGGCGCUUUGCAGCCUCCCCGCCUCCGCUGGCCAUUGUCCCCCCGCUGGCCGGCCCCAAGCAUCCUUCUCCUCUGCUCACCCGGAAACCCGCCAACCACUUGUUCCAGAGUCAGUUCCCACGUUGCCUCUGAGCCCCAGAUCUGUUUAUACAGCUGUUUAUACACUUCGCUUGGCUGUUUCAAUGGCACCCACACUUCCCAAACCUGGGCGUGAACCCAUGACCAGGCCCACCCCGCCAGUGCCAAGGAAGAGAGCUCCCUUCCUGCCUGCUCCCAGCUCAGCCGUGGCUCCACCGUCGACCCAAGUCCGUCUCCUCUUUAAAUCCUCCACGGCAAGGGCCAGUCGCGUUGUUCCCACGUGGCUCAGACAACCGUCCACUUCUCCCCGGCUCUGUGCCACCACCGUGCUUCUCUUGGCCAAGUUGUGACCGUGUCCCGAUGGGUCCCCUUCCACACCGGCCUCCACGCCGCCUGCAGGAACCGGGGUCCGGAUCUUCCCUCCUGACUCCUCUCCUCCGUCCCCCACGCGGUCCUCCAAAGCCCCCCCCAUAAACUCACCACGGGCCAGGUUCCCAACCACAGCACCCGCCCCCUGGCCCCCUGUCAUCUUCCGUCUCUGCUCUUCCUCAGGGAAGUCCCGUCCGACACCUUGUCCAGGUCGGCCCGUGACCUUGUGGGGUCACACUCCUCUUCCUCGCAGUUUUAUCCCAAUUUGAAGCGAUGCCCUCACGUGAGUGGGAGGGCGUGCAUAGGGGCCGUGGGAGGAGGACCGUGCCCGCUGCCCGGCACAUGCCCGGCAGAAAAGGUACACAGCAUCUGUCAGGUGCACACGUGGACUCGCAGGUGGCAGUGACCUGCUCCCCUGGGAGCCACGGGUCCUCACGGGAGGCCAGCACAGACUGGGCUCUGGACACCAGGCUGUGGUGAUGCCUGCUGCUGCGUCGCCCCCUACUGGCCCGCGAGUUCCGUCCAGACAGGAGGCUCCCUUUCAACCCCUGACACUCGGCAGAUGCUCGAUAAAUAGCUCAUGAUGGGGGGAAUCCCAGGUGCCACUUAAAACGGCACGAGUUUUUGCUGGUAAACACAAGGGCAGGGAAAGCUAGAUGGGUCUCCAGGUUGGAAACCCAUCGGCUUUAGCAAGGGGAGACCCAGACCCUCUCCUGGUGCGUCUCUAAGGCAGAGGCUCAGAAGGCAGGGCCAGGAUCAAGGCCAGGAAGAGCCUGACCCCCGUCCUUGGACAGAAUCACAAAGCAGAGACCCCACCGCCACUGCCCACGUGCCAUAGGGGGAAAAAAUCCCUGUGUUUGGUAGAGACCGGACUAGAUUCUCUUUGGAUUCAGUAAAUAUCUGUUGAACACUUACUGCCUGAAUGCCAGGAACAAAGGAGAGACCUGCAGAGAAGCCCCCCGCGCACCCCUGGGGAGCCUGCAAAUGACCACUGAAAUCGCUUCCAACCUCAGAGCCUAAGAAGCCACUUCAAACAGUUCAAAGGCAAACCCCGUUUGUUUUAGUAAGUAACCCUUCGGCCAAGAAGAUCAAUUUCUGUGCCUCUAUGGACAUGUGACCUCUGACUGUCAAUCAAUGCCCUAAAAAGCAGGCUAGCGAAGCCAACUGACUGUAUAAUUUGGUUCUUGCAACAGUUGCCAAAUUGAUUGGCAAUGCCUAACGGGAAGAGGGGCUAUGUUCUAAUAACGACAGCAGCAAAAGACAUCGCGCUUCUUUUGGAGACACUUGUGAAACUAGAAAAUAGCUUAUCUGAGAGCCACCGCUUUGCAAGGUCAAGGGCAUACCUCAGAAACCAGAGUGGCCAAGGCCACUGCUCGUGGCCUCCAACGAAGGGCCUCGGGAUGUGGGAGCCCAGGUCUCCUCUCCCACUGGCUGUGUGACGGGGACAACUUCCUCCCUCUCCGAGCCUCGGCGUCCACGUGGAAGGAAAGGCCUCUGCGCAGAUGGACUGUCCUGAGAUUCCAAAGAGCAGCCCAGCAACAGCCUGGACAGGGCCUCGGCACCGACCCGGGAGCAAGGCGCGCGGCCGUCCCAUCCAACCCGGACGCCCACUGGCUGGGUCACACCAGGGCAACCCGCAUCAUCCGAAAGCCUUACUGCUCCCUCGGAAAAGGGAGAACGAUGGUGCCGCUGGCGCCCAGGGCUACCGGAAGGCUCAC